CUAUAAAAGAAAGAAAGAGGCAGAUCCAAAUAAUCUCAGCCGCCUAAUCACACGAUCUAAUGGUUCACAAUCUCUCUGUGUUUAACGCUAGCAAGCCACUAACCCGUCGACUGAUAGUAGAUGCCUCUUCGUUAAAGAAAACUACUCCGCACGAACGAACCACGAUCUCUAUCCUGCUUCUCCUGUGUAACCUCCGCCCUCUCCUCCUGUGCACGGUGCGCCGCCCGCUCCUUGCCCAGCGGACGCGCCGACACGGGUUGCUGCCGCCGCUCCAAUCGCCCGUCGCUGCCCGCUCCAGUCGGCCUCUGCCGCCGCCCGCUCCUUCUGUGUUGCCCAGUGGACGCGCCAGCACGGGCUACCACCGCCACUCGCCGAUCCUCCACUCCGCCGCCGCUCCAAUUGCCCGUCGCCCCCUGCUCCAGUCGGCCUCUGCCGCCGACCCUCCGCUCCUCCGCCGUCGCCGCUGAACUCGGCUUCCGUCGCGGCUGACUCUGAUCCCCCACUUCGACGGUGGCCACCUAUACGAUGGUAAUCAUCUUAACUAUGAGCAAGUAGGUCGGAACUAUGAGCAAGUAGGUCACGUUUAAGAUCUCAAGGAUUCAGUGAUGUUGGAUCUAAUAGUUGGACUUCACCGCCUUCUCAAUUUAUAUAGGUGAGCACUGUUGCUUGCUGACUCACACAGCAGGAAUUAGGCGGGUUGUGGCGAACGAGGAACCAAGAGGGGCGGAAACUGUAGCUAUACAACUGCGGAAUUGAUCAAUACGAGCAUGCUUUGUCUAGCCAGGGAGAGCGCCGAGGGUGCUGGUCUGUGGCACCAGAAGAGGUGAACUCUCAACGAGAUACUAAUCAAUGGUGAAGUAUUUAGAUCAGUUCUACAACCAACUCAUGUGCUUAUAACUGUAGCUUUUGUUCAAACCUCAGUUGUAGGUAAGCUACAUUGCCAAGUGCAAAUCCUCAUCUUACUACAGUUUUCAACUUUUCAUUGAUUUUCUAUUUUGGAUUGUAUUUCCAUUUUGGGCCCCAUUUUUGACUGUAGCUUUUGUUCUGACCCCACUUGUACGCAAUGUAAUUUGCAGCCAUGAUGCUACAUUGCCAAUAUUUUAGAAAACUGUAAUUUGCUGCCAUGAUGUUACGCACGUGCAGGUCUAUGGUAGUGGUACGAAUUUGGGGGUACAUCUCCUCGCACUCAGGUGGAAGAAAUUCCUCGCCCUCAAGUCCAACUAAUUCAGGACCUGCAUCUCUGAUAUACCGUGGUUGGUUCCUUCCUCGAUGCCUUCUCUCUUGACAAUCGAUGAAAUACACAACUAGCUUGCACAUAUUUAAGGAGCACGUACAGUUUCAUUGUGUAAAAAAUAGUAGCAGGUGGGUAUUUUAGCAGUUCAGCUAUCUGAAAGAGAAAAUGAGUUGCUUCAGCAGAAAACCGAGGUCAUGACAUUAGCCACUUCACUGAAACCGGUCAGUUCAUCACUUCAUCUUUGUUCGUUGGUAAGAUCUGUAUUCUGUUGACCUUUGUAAACACAUUUUAGUAUCAUUAUCCAUUCAGUGUUCUGUUUACAGUGUACUAUUAAAUGCCAUUUUCCAUGUGUAUUUUUGUUGAUUGCUGUUGGAUUUGGAGGCAAACUAAUUUCCUCCUAAAGUAUGAAUUAUCUGCCAUGUGUAUGACUUUGAAAUCUUCAGUUUGAAAUUAUGAAAGUUUGUUCCGCUCUUACAUUAAGCAAGUGUCUAGAGGAAGUUUUGCUUUUGUUUAGGCUCGAGAAACAAACUAUCACGCAGUAUUGUGAAUUUGAAAUGGUGCUCUUCUCUUCCAAAAAUGCAUAGCAAAAUUUCAGGGACCUGCAGAUAGUUUCUUGAGUAACAAAAUUUAGGAGGCCUGACUAAUUUUAUUAUGAUAGUUCAGACAUGCUGCCAAUGAAAUUCACCCUUUACAGAAAACAGCAAGUUGUUUACUCAUGUGUUGUUCUGUUAUUAGACUGUAGGGAUAAGUUACCUUUUAGUUUUUACUACACCAAGGUUAAAGCUUUG
Molecule: long non-coding RNA, 2022 nt
Organism: Triticum dicoccoides
Lineage: Eukaryota; Viridiplantae; Streptophyta; Magnoliopsida; Poales; Poaceae
Exons: 5
Source: RefSeq, a predicted model, not a curated record